RNAcentral lists this non-coding RNA (23 nucleotides) under Arabidopsis thaliana (thale cress). Lineage: Eukaryota; Viridiplantae; Streptophyta; Magnoliopsida; Brassicales; Brassicaceae. RNAcentral also lists the same sequence under 1 other name. The record is from RNAcentral.
UACGUGAACUUUGCGGUCGGCCA